This 296-nucleotide ribosomal RNA is filed under the name uncultured bacterium. RNAcentral's name for it is "partial 16S ribosomal RNA". It matches the Rfam family "Bacterial small subunit ribosomal RNA", at positions 29 to 334 of the family's 1533-position model. The record is from RNAcentral.
AACGAACGCUGGCGGCAUGCCUAACACAUGCAAGUCGAACGGGGACCUUCGGGUCUAGUGGCGCACGGGUGCGUAACGCGUGAGCAACCUACCUUACACAACGGGAUAGCCGAGGGAAACCUUGAUUAAUACCGUAUGACAUUGCUUUUUUGCAUGAAGAAGCAACUAAAACUCAGGUGGUGUAAGAUGGGCUCGCGUCUGAUUAGCUAGUUGGUGAGGUAACGGCCCACCAAGGCGACGAUCAGUAGCCGGCUUGAGAGAGUGAACGGCCACACUGGAACUGAGACACGGUCCAG